Molecule: small RNA, 28 nt
Filed under: Bombyx mori (domestic silkworm)
Lineage: Eukaryota; Metazoa; Arthropoda; Insecta; Lepidoptera; Bombycidae
Description: ovarian small RNA-3056
Source: RNAcentral
UAGCCUUUUUGUUCCCGUUCGAUUCGUG